AAGGGUAUAGCUCAGUGGUAGAGCGUGUGCUUAGCAUGCAUGAGGUCCUGGGUUCAAUCCCUGUUACCUCC
RNAcentral lists this transfer RNA (71 nucleotides) under Camelus bactrianus (Bactrian camel). It matches the Rfam family "tRNA". Rfam says of the family: Transfer RNA (tRNA) molecules are approximately 80 nucleotides in length. Lineage: Eukaryota; Metazoa; Chordata; Mammalia; Artiodactyla; Camelidae. The record is from Rfam by way of RNAcentral. RNAcentral also lists the same sequence under 1 other name.